Long non-coding RNA from Glycine soja, 661 nucleotides. RefSeq lists it as uncharacterized. NCBI's taxonomy places the organism in Eukaryota, Viridiplantae, Streptophyta, Magnoliopsida, Fabales, Fabaceae. The record is from RefSeq and is a predicted model, not a curated record. The transcript is spliced from 3 exons.
UUGAAUUAUUUUAUUCUCUGAUUGAGAGUUUGCACUUAUUCAUUUGUGGGCAAAUAUUUCAGGGAAACAUAUUACGUUAUCUUAACAUGCUAAGGGAGCGGGGGAAGAAGCAUUUCCUGUUGACAAAUUCUCAUUGUGGAUGGAGGGUUGCGUUUUAUGUUGGAGGAUUCUUUGGAUUGUAGAGACUCUUGGACGAAACUGUUUGAUGUUGUGAUUGCUAAGGCCAAUAAACCACGGUUUUAUACACUUGAGCAUCCAUUCCGUGAAAAUGGAUUCGGUGAAGUGUGAUAUAGAGUGAGUAGUGAGCUAACUUUAUUUUACAUGCGAUGUUGGAUGUGGAGGAAUCUGAAACAUGAAGCUUGGAAUAGAGAGCCCUCUUGUACCAAAUGUGGAUGUGUGCCUAAAAUAUGUUCCUGAAAUGGGAUACGAUGUAUGUGUUGUUUUUCCUUUCUAGGUUAACUCAACAUCCUAGUGAAUUUGUUGUGACUUUUCCAAGAUCUUAUCAUGUAGGAUUCAACCAUGGUAAUUGUUUUGAAGUUUACGUACAUUCCUAAUAUUUGCUGAAAAAUGGUGUUGUAGGUGUUUGGUCUAUGAUUGAUGGAUUGAUUGUACAAGUGUUUUUACAAUUUGUGCUAUAUAGAUCUAUUGCUUCUUUUGGAUA